This 8926-nucleotide long non-coding RNA is filed under the name Brassica rapa (field mustard). RNAcentral describes it as "long non-coding RNA (BRAP_LNC008299)". Lineage: Eukaryota; Viridiplantae; Streptophyta; Magnoliopsida; Brassicales; Brassicaceae. The record is from RNAcentral.
UGAUUCAAAAAAAAAAAAAAAAAAAAAAAAAAGAAAAAGUUCAAAGUUUGUUUUGUGGAUUGGUGGUGGAAGAGAAAGCCUGCUGGCUGAGGAGAAAUCCAGCCUUUGAGGUGGUUAAAACGGAUUUCAAAAAUCAAAAUCUCUUAUCUUUCUAUCUUGAGAAAAUUCCCUUGUUUGCUUGGAUUUGCCCAUUGGGAUUCUUUGAUUUGUUCUCUUAGAACAUUGAGUAGAAACUUGUGUGUGAUCACCUAAAUCUGAGAGAAACACUUGAGUGGGUGAGAAUAAAACACUUGAGAGAGUGAGGCUUUAUUUCCUAACUUUUGUGUUGAGAUUUUCAGGUUAUGAUGUUUGGUCUUCAAAGGAAAAGUAACAAGGAGAAGCACCCACGACUUUCUGUCUCUCAAACCUCCUUUAAAUAUGCUUUGAAUACUUUUGAUGAGUUUGUUGAUGUGCAGGAGAAACCAAACAGGUGGAGCAAAGAGCAUGUCAAUACAUCCAAAGGUGAAUCUGAUCCAAAAAGGCAACCCUUUCAAAUUGAUGUCCAACAAAUUUGUGAUAACCUUGUGAAGGGAGUGGACAAAGCCCUUAAGGACUUCAGCAAGAGCCAAAAGAAGAGCACAUCUACACGUGCCCCAGUAGCUGAGCCAUCCUUGUUCAUCAGUAAGAAAGCCCAAGGUGAAUCUGAAAACCAUUUUGAAGAACUUAAAGAUUUUUCAGAUUCUCUACCCAUUUUUGAUGAAUCUGAUGAAGAGCUAAUUGAAAGCUUGAUGUUUUGUGAAAAAUAUUGUGAUCUUCCUUCUCUUGAAACUGAGUUUAAUCUUGAUAAUGAACAAGCUAUUGUAGAACUAACUGUUUUGCAACCGGAGCUUCCGAGUAGUCUUGUUUUGUCUCCACAGGUUUUUGAGGAAGAGCCACUGGAUUUUCCACAUCAGUGCCCAUGUCUUGACACUAGGAUAUGUUUGGAUGAUGAUCUAGGUCCUAUCUUUGAUGAGGAGGACGAACCUGGUCCAGUCUUUGAUGAAGAAGCAACAACCAUCACAUCCAUUGCUAUGGAGAAUUAUCUAUGCUUUGAUCCCGGCACAACUCCUGCCCCUUUACCUUCGGAUCUUCAAGAGCACUGUGAGGAACCUUCUUCUCUUAAUUCUCUGCCUGACAUGUUUGUGAAAGUCAGUACUGAUGAUGUAAUUCGUUUUGGUCUUGACAAGAUGAAAGAUUUUUUUGUUUCAAAAUCUGUUUUUGAUAACAUGAUUAAUUCUUUAAAAAUCUUUGAACCUGAUAAAUGUCUAGAUCAAUUACGUUUUCAAAGUGUCAAUGGCAUCACUUCUGGAAUUAUUUUGAGCUUUGAUCAGUUCUUGGAACAUAACAAAGGUUUUCAUCUUCUUGGAAGGCCAUUUGAUCUUGAUUUGCAACAAACUGAUUUUUGUGCUGAAAAAUCUCUUGAUUCGUUAGUUUGCAAAAGAAAUAGCUUUGAUCUGAGUUCUUCUAGACAUGUACUGAUCACUGAUGAAUUGUUUGCAUCCUCUUAUGCCUUGGACGAAAUUUUGAUUCAGAAGUUGCUGGAACAGAAAUCACUUGAAACUGAAAAUGAUUUUCGUGAUCUUGAAAUUUGUGGUUCUGUUUUGCAGCUUGAUCUCUUGAGUUUUGAAACUGAUAAUACUUGGCAUUUUCUGAGAUCAUUUCGUGAUAAUGGUGUUGUCUUGAGUUCUGAUGAUAUUUUGGUUUACAACACAUUCUUUGAGAAAUGCCUUGAACUUUUGAUAAAUGAUUCUCAAACUGAACUUAAGCUUGUGUGUUCAGAUGUUGGGAAGGAUAUGCCCAUUUUGAAAAUGAAUACUGUUGUUGCAUAUCUUGAUAAAAUUCUUGUCUGUAAUAUUUACUUUUAUGAGCACCUUGAAAGGCUGAAAAAUGUGCAAUUUGUUCUUGGAAAAGAUAUCUUGAUUUGUGAUUUGAACAAAUAUUUAUCUUGCACAUUUGAUCCUGGUCUUUUAGUGUUUGUUUUGAGUAUCCAGGAAAGACAGGUUCAGCCUCUGAAUGAAAGCAUUGGCCGUGCCCAACAACCUCAGAUUUGGAGAAGCUUUGUUGUUCAAACCGGCUACCUUGGUGCCAGCGAUAGAGGUUCAGUCCAAGAAGGAUAUCUCAACAGUCCGAAGGUCUUUUGUCUUGAAUCCAAUUUUACAAGAAAGCCAACUCAUCAAGGAUUCACUGAGGCUUGGAAUCGCAUGAAAAGCUUCACGGAUAAAGAAGUUAUGAAUUUUCCAAACCGGAAGUUCUUCAGUACAACUAUCCGCGAGUACCAGAUUUCUAAAGGAGAUUCAUGCCCCAGAAAGAAUCGACCUGAGCCAAAAUCGAUCCUCAAUGAACCAAAGGUGUUUCCUCAGUCAACCUCCUGGCCAAAACAAAAGCACUGUAAGGAUCAUGGGUUGAUUAUCUCUGCUCAUCAUGAAAAUGUUUUGAAACCGAGAAUUUCUAAACGAAAUCACAUCUUUACUUGGUUGAAAAACGUUUUGUUUAAACCUUUCCAUGAAUUGUGUUCAUUGAGCUGUGCUUUGAAAGAGAUUUGGUUUAGGAAAAGGCAUGAACCAAAAUUGCUUAGACCAAAGAAUCAAUUUGAUUUCAUUCAUGAUAAGAAUUUUUCAGAUUUGGCAUUGUCUCUUUCUUUUCCUGACCGUUUCUCAGCUUGGCCUAAUUUUAAAAUUGAUAAACCAAUUUUUGGUGAUCAGUUUACUUGUUUGAUGCUUGCCCACGUGCUUGAUGAUUAUCCUAAGGGCUUGGAUCCUGAUCUUGGUGUCCUAAAGAUAGAGAAACCUUUUGAUUAUUUCUUUCGCAGAUUUGAUGUGGUUUCUCUAGUUAUUUUGAAUGAACAGGUUAAGCAUGAUCAGUUUCCAAGGAGAGCAAGCGCUGGAGAACGCCUAAGGACUUAUGUUCCUCAAACAUGGAACUGGAAAUACUUGAGGGAAACAAGUUCAAAACUCCAAGGAAGUUUCUGUCCAAAAUUUUCCUUCUCUGAAUUUUACAUGAUUUUAAACUUCUUUUUGUCUGAUUCAUUUUCUUUUGAUUCAGGUAAAAUUGAUUUGAGGUCAAAUCCUUUUGAAGAGGGAGGGAAUGAUGUGCCAUGGAGUAGCGCACCGGGCAAAACAGACAUGCAUGGUUUGAUCAUUGGAAGCAGUAAUGAUAUAUGUUCAUUGUUUGACUCAUAUCUUCUAAACCACGAGGCUUCUACACAUGAAAUCACUUGGAGAAUGUUCUCAACUCAAUUACGGAGCUCCUCGAAGAAGAAUCAGAUCAAACGGAGUUCAUAUGUGAUAGUUAUGCUAUUUACAAAUCAAGUGAUCUUUAGUUCUCGCGAAUUCAGACCACCCGAGAAGCUCGAAAUGGCUAACCUUCUUUCUGAUGAACCAACGGCCAAUUCAAUCAUGACAAAGGUGAUUAUUCAUGUUCUAAAUAUCCAAGAAAGCAUUGGGCUUGAUGGUUUUCAAAAAGAUUCAAAAACGAGCUUGUUUGGCCCAAAUGGAGAAACCGAUAAAAUAUUGGCUAAGGGAAAAGAUGGAUUUCGACCAGACCUCAAAGGGACAUGUCUUGGCCCAUAUCAGGAGUAUAUUCUUCACCUUUCAAAGUCCUGGUCGUGGCUAUAUGAAGAGGUAGUCUAAGUUUCAGUCAAAUACUUUAUUUAGUCAAGUCUUUGUUUCUAUUUCCAAUGUCUUGUUUUUAGCACAUUCUUCUUUGGAUCUCUACAACUUGUAAUCCUAUAAAUAAGGCCUUAGAGCAACGAAAUAAACCAGAUUGUUUUCCCCUUUUGUUGAGUUAAAACUCUUUGUUCUUUGUAGAACUUGUUCUUAGUUUCUUGGUGAGGUUAUCUCCAAGUUUCCAUCCUUCUUUUGUUGGACCGGUGCGUCACAUCCGGCAACGAUCGAAGUCUGGUAGUAUCUUUGGGCUAUUCCGCAACCCUUAGUGUCACCCCUCGAUCCAUCAGUUCUCAAUCCUCUCGGAUCUGAGUUCAUAUCAACCUUACCGAAAGAGUGAUCCUUAUUUUGGUUCUAUCAAGUGCCGUUUGCAUGGAAGAUCCGUGGUCAAUGAUGUGCCGCAGACCACGGAUCAUUACAUGGAACCAGCUCAGCAUGGAGUUCAGGACGUUCUGAACAUUUCAACCGAGGUUCAUCUUUUUCACCGUGCCAUACUUGACUUGGGUCGAGCCAGACUUAGCUUGGGUGGUGAAAAAACCAAAGACGGACAUGCAUUCUCAUCCGGCGGACCAUCCGGACAGUCCCGCAAGCGUCCUUAUCUUUAUCCCGUGCAUCCAUCUGGUUCGGAUGAAUCUAGACAUCUUGACUGGUCUUCUCCAUUUUCCGUGCCUUGACCAGAUCUAGUCUUCUCUAUUUUCCGUGCCUUGACCAGAUCUAGUCUUCUCUAUUUUCCGUGCCUUGACUUGAUCUAGUCAAAUUUAUAUUUCCUAUGCAUUGUUUUCCCACAUUUUCUUUUAUUGUCUUUGACUACAAAACACUAUAAAUAUGUAGUCCCUUUGAUGAAUAAAAUCAGUUCAUUUUGGUUGUUUAUUUCGUUUCUUCUCUGAGUGAGAGAGAGAGAGUUCUUAGCUAGUUCAUCGGUUUGAACCGGCUUGUUGAUUUGGUGGUCAGCCAAUCAUCUUUGUGUGUCGUUUGGUGGUUAGCCAACACACUACAUUCGUUCUUAGGUGGUUAGCCUUAGAUCGUGGGUAUAUCAAGAGCCAUUCCGCAUCUCUUGACGAUCCUUUCAAUCCAUCUCAGUUCCAGAAGCGCCAUUUGCUUCUCGGUUCAUAUCCAACACCCAGCUAAAGUGAUCCUUUCCGAUUUUGGUUCUAUCAAGUGGUAUCAGAGCCACUUUGGCUGGUUUGUUUUCUUUCAUCUUCUCAUCUCUCCACGUUUUUCUUUUCUUAUUUCUUGGAUCCGGGCUGUUCCUUUACUCCCUUGUGAUCGCCUAUUAUAAAAAAAAAAAAAAUCGAUAAAAAAGAAAAAAAAAAGUUUUGGCUUGAAUCACCUUCUGAAGAGAAAUCCAGGGGGAGUGGUGGAAGAGAAAUCCUGCUGGCUGAAGAGAAACCCAGCCUUUGGACAGUUAAGGCGGAUCCAUUUCAAAAAUCUCUUCAUCUUUCUUUCUCUUUUCUUUUUCCCACAAAAGUUUGUUUUGGGUUUUGAUUGCUGAAUUUUGACUGCCUAUCAUCCUUUGAACCAGUGAAAGAACUCUGAGUGACCAUUUAAAAAUCGAGAGCUAAACACUUGAGAGUGUGAGGAUUUUUAUUUUCUAACUUUGUUAAGUGUUUUCAGGAUGUUUGGACUUCUCAAGAAAUCAAAACCACAACAAGACGUCUACUUUCCUUUUAAAACUGUUUUUGAAAAGGAGCAAUUGAUUUUUGAUAAGAAACAGUUUGCUUCUAAUGAGUUUGACUUUGUGCAGAAACAAAAGAAGAGACAAAACAGGUGUGAUGAUGAGAAGUGGGCCAGAAGUCGUGAUCGUCCCUUCACCAAAGCCAAGAGAAGCAACUGUGAUGUGCCUGAUCAGAAUGAGCUUCAGAAUUAUGCCAGCUUGGAAAAGAUGUUGCAUAAGGCGAUUCAUGUUGUCCGGCAACUCAAAAAGAAGGGAAACAGCAACACUUCUUCUGCACCAAAACAACAAAGUAAUUCUUCUUCUAUUUCAAAUUCUGAUUUGAAAACUAAUGUGUUGUCUUUUGAUAAAAGCAAGGCUGUGAAAACCACAAGCAAGGCUCUUUCUACCAGGUGUUUCAAAUGCCAUAAGGUCGGUCAUUAUGCCAACAAGUGCCAAAAACAGAAAACGUUGGUGACAUUGGAGAAAGUUGAAACCGAGCCAGAAAAGGAAGACGUUUUACCAAUUUUCGAUGACUAUGCACAUGAACCAAAGGAAGGGUCAGGUGGAGAGCAAAAUUGUGGUCAUAGAGAAGGAUCUUGUUCCAUUCACAAUCCGGACCAAACUCAAGGUGAACAACGUUCUGAUUAUGGUUCUUUUGCUUAUAAUCCUUUUCCUUUUAAUGUUUCAGAUUUGAGGACAAAUCUUUUUGAAGAGGAAGGGAAUGAUGUGCCGCAGACCACGGAUCAUUACAUGGAACCAGCUCAGCAUGGAGUUCAGGACGUUCUGAACAUUUCAACCGAGGUUCAUCUUUUUCACCGUGCCAUACUUGACUUGGGUCGAGCCAGACUUAGCUUGGGUGGUGAAAAAACCAAAGACGGACAUGCAUUCUCAUCCGGCGGACCAUCCGGACAGUCCCGCAAGCGUCCUUAUCUUUAUCCCGUGCAUCCAUCUGGUUCGGAUGAAUCUAGACAUCUUGACUGGUCUUCUCCAUUUUCCGUGCCUUGACCAGAUCUAGUCUUCUCUAUUUUCCGUGCCUUGACCAGAUCUAGUCUUCUCUAUUUUCCGUGCCUUGACUUGAUCUAGUCAAAUUUAUAUUUCCUAUGCAUUGUUUUCCCACAUUUUCUUUUAUUGUCUUUGACUACAAAACACUAUAAAUAUGUAGUCCCUUUGAUGAAUAAAAUCAGUUCAUUUUGGUUGUUUAUUUCGUUUCUUCUCUGAGUGAGAGAGAGAGAGUUCUUAGCUAGUUCAUCGGUUUGAACCGGCUUGUUGAUUUGGUGGUCAGCCAAUCAUCUUUGUAUGUCGUUUGGUGGUUAGCCAACACACUACAUUCGUUCUUAGGUGGUUAGCCUUAGAUCGUGGGUAUAUCAAGAGCCAUUCCGCAUCUCUUGACGAUCCUUUCAAUCCAUCUCAGUUCCAGAAGCGCCAUUUGCUUCUCGGUUCAUAUCCAACACCCAGCUAAAGUGAUCCUUUCCGAUUUUGGUUCUAUCUAUCUUAGGGUUCUUCAGUUGGUAUCAGAGCCACUUUGGCUGGUUUGUUAUCAUUCUCUUAUCAUCUUCUCAUAUCUUCAUCAUUCUAUUUUCUUAUUGUUUUUUUGGAUCCGGGCUGUUCCUUUACUCCCUUGUGAUCGCCAGUUAUUAAAAAAAAAAAUAAGGAUCACUCUUUCGGUAAGGUUGAUAUGAACUCAGAUCCGAGAGGAUUGAGAACUGAUGGUAUUAACGGUGACACUAAGGGUUGCGGAAUAGCCCAAAGAUACUACCAGACUUCGAUCGUUGCCGGAUGUGACGCACCGGUCCAACAAAAGAAGGAUCGAAACUUGGAGAUAACGUCACCAAGAAACUAAGAAAUGUUCUAACAAAGAACAAAGAGUUUUAACUCAACAAAAGGGGAAAACAAUCUGCUUUAUUUCGUGGCUCUAAGGCCUUAUUUAUAGGAUUACAAGUUGUAGAGAUCCAAAGAAGAAUGUGCUAAAAACAAGACAUUGGAAAUAGAAACAAAGACUUGACUAAAUAAAGUCUUUGACUGAAACUUGGACUACUUCUUCAUAUAGCCACGACCAGGACUUUGAAAGGUGAAGAAUAUACUCCUGAUAUGGGCCAAGACAUGUCCCUUUGAGGUCUGGUCGAAAUCCAUCUUUUCCCUUAGCCAAUAUUUUAUCGGUUUCUCCAUUUGGGCCAAACAAGCUCGUUUUUGAAUCUUUUUGAAAACCAUCAAGCCCAAUGCUUUCUUGGACAUUUAGAACAUGAAUAAUCACCUUUGUCAUGAUUGAAUUGGCUGUUGGUUCAUCAGAAAGAAGGUUAGCCAUUUCGAGCUUCUCGGGUGGUCUGAAUUCGCAAGAACUAAAGAUCACUUGAUUUGUAAAUAGCAUAACUAUCACAUAUGAACUCCGUUUGAUCUGAUUCUUCUUCGAGGAGCUCCGUAAUUGAGUUGAUAACAUUCUACAAGUGAUUUCAUGUGUAGAAGCCUCGUGGUUUAGAAGAUAUGAGUCAAACAAUGAACAUAUAUCAUUACUGCUUCCAAUGAUCAAACCAUGCAUGUCUGUUUUGCCCGGUGCGCUACUCCAUGGCACAUCAUUCUCUCCCUCUUCAAAAGGAUUUGACCUCAAAUCAAUUUUACCUGAAUCAAAAUAAAAUGAAUCAGACAAAAAGAAUUUUAAAAUCAUGUAAAAUUCAGAGAAGGAAAAUUUUGGACAGAAACUUCCUUGGAGUUUUGAACUUGUUUCCCUCAAGUAUUUCCAGUUCCAUGUUCGAAGAACAUAAGUCCUUAGGCGUUCUCCAGCGCUUGCUCUCCUUGGAAACUGAUCAUGCUUAACCUGUUCAUUCAAAAUAACUCGAGAAACCACAUCAAAUCUGCGAAAGAAAUAAUCAAAGGGUUUCUCUAUCUUUAGGACAUCAAGAUCAGGAUCUAAGCCCUUAGGAUAAUCAUCAAGCACGUGGGCAAGCAUCAAACAAGUAAACUGAUCACCAAAAAUUGGUUUAUCAAUUUUAAAAUUAGGCCAAGCUGAUCACCAAGCCGUUUGCCUUCUCGGAUCAUAUCCAACACCCAGCUAAAGUGAUCCUCCCUAUCUUAGGGUUCUUCAGUUGGUAUCAGAGCCACUUUGGCUGGUUUGUUUUCAUUUCAUCUUUUCAUCUUCUCAUCUCUCCACGAUUUUAUUUUCUUAUUUCUUGUUGGAUCCGGGCUGUUCCUUUACUCCCUUGUGAUCGCCAGUUAUUAAAAAAAAAAAAGAGAAAAAAAAAUUGAUCAAAAAAAAAAAAGAGUGAAAGUUUUGGCUUGAAUCACUUCUGAAGAGAAAUCCAGGGGGAGUGGUGGAAGAGAAACCCUGCUGGCUGAAGAGAAACCCAGCCUUAGGACAGUUAAGGCGGAUCCACACAAAAAUCUCUUCAUUGUUCUUUCUCUUUUCUUUUCCCACAAAGUUUGUUUUGGGUUUUGACUCCUGAUUUUUUACUGCCUAUCAUCCUUUGAACCAGUGAAAGAACUCUGAGUGACCAUCUAAAAAUCGUGAGCUAAACACUUGAGAGUGUGAGGAUUUUUAUUUGCUAACUUUUUUAAGUGUUUUCAGGAUGUUUGGACUUCUCAAGAAAUCAAAACCACAACA